AAGUCGUAACAAGGUUUUGCUAAGCAACAGUCCUUCUGUAGCAGAGCUUAACGGAGACCUUGCACCCGAGAGGGGGGACCGACUCUAAAGAACUCCCAGCGCAAGUCAGCACCGCUGGCAACACAAUCGAAUUGCGGGGACGCUUUAAAGCUCACCAGUACCAACUACUCUUCUAGGGUAGGGCUAGCACAGCUAGAGGUCACAAUCUGGUGGGAUGGUACAAUAAGCAAUCCGCAGCGGCUAAGCCGUUCACAGACUAAGUGGUUGUGGGUAGG
This 275-nucleotide unclassified non-coding RNA is filed under the name Ascomycota sp. Its description in RNAcentral is "partial contains internal transcribed spacer 1". The record is from RNAcentral. Lineage: Eukaryota; Fungi; Ascomycota.